UACGUAGGGGGCAAGCGUUGUCCGGAUUUCUUGGGCGUAAAGAGCGUGUAGGCGGCUUCACAAGUCCGCUGUGAAAACUCGAGGCUCAACCUCGAGCUGUCGGUGGAAACUGUGUGGCUAGAGUCCGGAAGAGGAGAGUGGAAUUCCCAGUGUAGCGGUGAAAUGCGCAGAUAUCGGGAAGAACACCCGUGGCGAAGGCGGCUCUCUGGGACGGUACUGACGCUGAGACGCGAAAGCGUGGGGAGCGAACAGG
RNAcentral lists this ribosomal RNA (253 nucleotides) under uncultured bacterium. RNAcentral's name for it is "partial 16S ribosomal RNA". It matches the Rfam family "Bacterial small subunit ribosomal RNA", at positions 524 to 776 of the family's 1533-position model. The record is from RNAcentral.